RNAcentral lists this ribosomal RNA (450 nucleotides) under uncultured bacterium. RNAcentral's name for it is "partial 16S ribosomal RNA". It matches the Rfam family "Bacterial small subunit ribosomal RNA", at positions 339 to 795 of the family's 1533-position model. The record is from RNAcentral.
CUACGGGGGGCUGCAGUGGGGAAUUUUGGACAAUGGGCGCAAGCCUGAUCCAGCCAUUCCGCGUGAGUGAAGAAGGCCUUCGGGUUGUAAAGCUCUUUCGCAAGGGAAGAAAACUUAUCCUCUAACAUAGGAUGAGGUUGACGGUACCUUGAUAAGAAGCACCGGCUAACUACGUGCCAGCAGCCGCGGUAAUACGUAGGGUGCGAGCGUUAAUCGGAAUUGCUGGGCGUAAGGCUUGUAAGUGAGAUUUGAAAUCCCCGGGCUCAACUUGGGAACUGCGUUUGAAACUACAAGACUAGAAUAGGGCAGAGGGGGGUAGAAUUCCACGUGUAGCAGUGAAAUGCGUAGAGAUGUGGAGGAAUAUCAAUGGCGAAGGCAGCCCCCUGGGAUCAUAUUGACGCUCAUGCACGAAAGCGUGGGGAGCAAACAGGAUUAGAUACCCUGGUAGUC